Long non-coding RNA from Homo sapiens (human), 1233 nucleotides. Ensembl annotates it as long intergenic non-protein coding RNA 2087. The record is from Ensembl. NCBI's taxonomy places the organism in Eukaryota, Metazoa, Chordata, Mammalia, Primates, Hominidae.
AAUCCUCUCAUGUAUGGCUCCCUUAUCUAGGGGACUUUGGCAUGUCAUGUGAUCUCCCUGUGAAUGAGCCAAGACAAGGACUCCCAGCCUUCUGACUGCUAAAUCAUUGCUCUCUUCAUUACAUCAUAUUGUCACAGCUGUUUUGCAAGAUGACUAAUUUAUGAGAAUAGUUCAAACAACGUAUCUGGAAGUAGAUUUUUAAAAAGAGAACAGAGUCUUCAAUUGCCAGUGAUUGUCUAUAGCUUUUACUUCCUCAAGACACCACUUUACGUUGUUUAUUCUGAUCCAGGCACAGUACAACUUCAUUUUAUUCUCCAAAUAAAAGACUGCUGAAGCUUCUGAGAAAAAGAAAAAAGCGAAGGAUCAUCUUUGAUCAUGCAGUGAGCUGAUUCCAAAAUGUGGACAAAAAGCAGACUCAAAGGCAAUGAUUCCGAGAAACAGUGAAUGUCACAAGGAGACACCUGGGCUCUUUAUAAAGAGGUCUCUCUCAGCCUCCCUGCGCUUAGGGACAGUGGACAGCACUGCAGCACUGCAGCACUGCACUUGGGGCCAUUUUAAACAGCGAAGUCACCAAAACCACGCAAAAAAAUGCUAAAAGCACAGUACUAAACAGACCAUGGAAAAGACAUAUGUACAGUAUGAGAAGUGCACCAGCCUUCCUGUGCCCGUUGAUGGACUGAGAGGAAGAUGAGCCCUUAGGAUGCCUGCCAUGCUCAGUGUUAAGGGUUUUCAAAAGAAAUGCAGGCAGCAUGGUGCACUACAGACUCCAGCCUCCCUUUGAAGCCAGGUUCCAGAGCUUCCUCCCUUUGGCCUGGAACCUCAACAGCAGGAUUGGGAUGAGGAUGGAAGUGUACAGAUAUGCAUAUAGUAUUGCUUAUCCCCAGCUGAAAUCAAUGUUGGCAUGACAUGUUGCAAAACCAAACUGACAUUGAACAUGACUUUUUUCAGCCCUUUAAAUAGCUGUUCAUGUAGAACUUAGUUUUUUAUGGAAGACCUUGAUAAUCCUGUCUUUAGUUACUUUAGAAGUUAACUUCCUGGGUGGACUUGAAUUGAGUCUUAUUCAUCUUUAAAUUUCCAGGGUUUAGCAAAGUACCUGCUUCAGAGUAGGUGUUAAUAAAGCUAAUGCCCUUCAAAUCAACAAGAGGAUUUCCUGUGAGGGGUGGUCCUGUUUUCUGACACUCAGAUGGCUCUGAGUGUGGCAUCUCAGAAAAAAGAAAGAAAGAAAAAAAAAAA